Molecule: non-coding RNA, 999 nt
Organism: Rattus norvegicus (Norway rat)
Lineage: Eukaryota; Metazoa; Chordata; Mammalia; Rodentia; Muridae
Source: RefSeq, a predicted model, not a curated record
GGCAAACCAAUAGGCCAUUUUGUUAGUGUUUGAUGUGGGUAGGCCUAGCCCAGUAUAGCUUAUUGUGUGGGUGUGGCUACUUCUGGGCUGGUGCUCCUGGGUUCUAUAAGAAAACAGGUUGAACUAGCUAUGAGGAGCAAGCCAGUAAACUGACUCCUCCUUGGUCCCUGUAUCAGCCCCUACCUCCUGUUUCCUGCCCUAUUUGAGUUCCUGACUUGACUUCCUUCAAGGAUGAACAAUAAUGUGGAAGCAGAAGCCAAAUAAACCCAUUCUUCCUCAGCUUUCUUUCGUUCAAGGUGUUUCAUCACAACACUAGCAACCCUAGGGAGGACAAUUGCUACCUGUCCAGAACUCGUUAUUGGAUGAAGGUUUAUAAUUGAGCUACAUGGCAAGAAGAUCUGAGUGCUUUGUGAGUGGACACAGCUUCACCUCGAAAGUCAAGGAAAAGUUUUGCUGAUGAAAGACCAUUUCUGUUCAGACCAGGAAGAUCAAUGGCAGCGGUAAAGGAACAUCCCAGUGAUGUCUUAUUUUUAGCUACCGAGUAAAGUGAGGCGAUUCUCCAGGUGCUGGGCUGUCUCCAUUAGAAGCUCCUCUCGGUUGUCAAGGGAUGCCUCAGCCUCACGCCGGAAACUGGCCCACCUCUGGAAGUCCUCUUCAUUUACAACCUAUGAGACAGAAGAGGAUUAUCAGUAACCUUGAAUGGAUCAGCAAAUGGAAUUCUUCCUUGUUACUGAUAUGCUGGCCUCCUGUAAGCCUGUAGACUUCACAGAAUUGGGCAUGGAAUUCUCCACAGUGAUAUUUUGAAUGCAUAAGUUGAUGAAAGAUUAAACCUUAGAUAGCCUUAUGCCCAGAAUAUGGAUAAUAUGAAGUUGAUGGGUUAUUGUGGUGGUAGAGAGGUAGGGCAAUUCCAGGAGAAGUUAAGGUGAGGGGUUGGAGGGGGUGAACAUGGUCAAAAUAUAUUGUAUGAAAUUAUCAAGGAAUUAAUAAAAAUAUUUAAAA